Molecule: RNA transcript, 2343 nt
Organism: Asparagus officinalis (garden asparagus)
Lineage: Eukaryota; Viridiplantae; Streptophyta; Magnoliopsida; Asparagales; Asparagaceae
Gene name: pentatricopeptide repeat-containing protein At4g17616
Exons: 5
Source: RefSeq, a predicted model, not a curated record
GCAAAUAUGUCACAACUAAAAGCCCUCAAUUUCCCUAUCUCUCUGCUUUCAUUCAUCUUGCGCUUAAUUAUUACUCACCAUUUUUUUUAAAUUUCGGUUGAGUUCGCCCUCAAAUCCAGUUCAGCUCUGAUGCGAUCACAAUGAGAGGUUUUUCUGGGCUUUCUCAGUUGAGACGGAGAUGCUCGUUGUUUGCUUCUGCUUCAAAAGUUAAUGGGGCUACAAAUGGUUGUCGUUCUUAUCAGUUCCAUUCGUCCAUAAAUAACUUUGAGAUCAAUUCUAACCCGAGUAGUCUUCAGCAUCUUUCUACUAGCAUUCGACCGGGGGUCUUAUGGGAACACUCCUCUUAUGACACCCUAUUGAAAAAACUUGAAAUUUCUAUGGAAAAUGGUUCGGAAGAAGAAACAUUGGAGGCUUUCAAUAAUUUUAGAAGAUUGCAUGGUUUCCCAAAUCGCGAAUUGGUGAACAAAAUGGUUGUUAGCUUUUCGUACUCAUCAGACCGUCAGUGGCUUCGUAAAGCAUAUGAUUUAGUACUUUUAAUUCUAGACAAGAAGCCCAAUGUUCUUUAUCAUGACUCUUUAUCAAGGCUAGCUCUCACUCUUGCGAGAGCUCAGAUGCCGAUUCCUGCAUCCACGGUUCUAAGGGUUAUCUUGGAGAAAUUUAAGCUUCCGCCGAUAGAUUCAUGGAAUAUUUUGUUUUCCCACUUAGUCAAGACUAAAGUUGGGUCCUUUCUUGCAUCUGAAAUUUUGAUCGAAUUUUGUGAGUUUUGCUUGAAACACAAGUCGGAUGGAAAAAUUUCUAAGCAAAAUAAGGUUAUGUACCCGAGUACUAUCAUGUUCAACCUUGUUCUUAGUUCAUGUUUGCAAUUUAAGUCGUCGUUCAAGGCUCAACAUAUAAUAGAAAUUAUGUCUCAAUCGGAAGUUGUAGCUGAUGCGAGCACUAUAGUAAUUAUUGCUCGGAUAUAUGAAAUCUGUGGGCAACGUGACGAACUAAAGAAACUCCAAGCACACAUUGAUGCUGUUUCUUCUGUACUUCUAACUCGCCACUACCGAGAGUUUUAUGAUAGUCUGUUGAGCUUACACUUCAAAUUUAAUGAUCUUGAUUCUGCUUCAGAACUUGUGUUGGAUCUCUAUCGGCGGCCAAAAUUUUCUCAUCCGCGGUUACAAAAGCACUGUGUUUUUCAAAUAGGGUCGAGCAACCUUAACACGGGUUCUAAAAUUGUGGUUGAUCCUAGUAUGUUGCAGAAAGAUCUAAUUGUUGAUACCCAAAGUAAGUGUGAGUUUGUUCUCUUUGUUGAUGGGAAGCUUCUUCCUUCUAAUAAGGCUCUUGCGAAACUUGUAGAUGGUUAUGUGAAAGAAAAAAAUGUGACUAAGUUGUCAAAACUUUUGAUUGAUAUUCAAAAGGAGGUCGAUUCAGAAGAAGCCACUUUGUGUUCAGAUGUAAUAGAUGCUUGCAUUCAUCAAAGCUGGUUGGAGACUGCUCAUGACAUUAUAGAUGACUUGGAAUCAGCUACAAUUCCAGUGCAAGCCAGUACUUAUGAGUCAUUAUUGAGAUCUUACAUCAAAGAUAACAUGUUGGAUGAAUCGGAAUUGUUAUUAAAGCAGAUGAAAACAGCGGGUCAUUAUGUAAACUUGUCAGAUGAAAAUACCCUUCUUAAUAAGAGAACAGAGGAUCUGGUUGCCCUCAUAGACAGAGAAACUAGAGAGAAUAGUAUUGCGUCUUCUAUGAUUUAUGAGUUCAAUAACUCAAUUCUAUUCUUUUGCAAGGCCAAGAUGAUGGACGAUGCUUUGAAAACUUUCAAUAGGAUGCAACAAAAGGGCAUCCAACCCACAGUAGAAACUUUCAGCCAUUUAGUAAAAGGUUACUCCUCUUUGAAAAUGUAUCGCCAAAUAACAAUACUUUGGGGAGAAACUAGGAGGAGAAUAGAAGAUCAAGUUCUAAUGGCAGACAGGGACUUGUUAGAUUGCUUUCUGUGCAAUUUUAUUCAAGGCGGGUAUUUCGAGCGCGUAAUGGAUAUAGUAAAUUAUAUGUUGAAGAAUAAUAUGUUUACUGAUACAUGGAAGUAUAAAAGAGAGUUUCUUAAGCUUCACAGUGAUUUGUACUGGAGCUUAAAAGCAUCAGAUGCAAGAACAGAUGCACAGAAGUAAAAUGAACAAUGUAAAAGAUGUUUUCAAGAUAUCAUGAGAUCUUGAGUUGGUUAUUUACAGCCGGCUAAGGCCAACGGGUUGCUGUUGUGUUAUUUUUCUUCCAAAUUUCAAGCAUGUUGGUCAAAUAUGCUAGCUUGGCCUUCUCACUACCACAACAAUUUGCAUUCACGGUGAUCACCUCUUUGAACUCCAUGCUGGC